GACAGAGGGGGCAAGCGUUGCUCGGAAUUACUGGGCGUAAAGGGCGCGUAGGCGGGAUGGCAAGUCGGUCGUGAAAUCCCUCGGCUCAACUGAGGAUCGUCGAUCGAUACUGCCGUUCUUGAGGAUUGCAGAGGAGACUGGAAUUCCCGGUGUAGCGGUGAAAUGUGUAGAGAUCGGGAGGAACACCGAUGGCGAAGGCGGGUCUCUGGGCAAUUCCUGACGCUGAGGCGCGAAAGCGUGGGGAGCAAACGGG
This 253-nucleotide ribosomal RNA is filed under the name uncultured bacterium. RNAcentral's name for it is "partial 16S ribosomal RNA". It matches the Rfam family "Bacterial small subunit ribosomal RNA", at positions 524 to 776 of the family's 1533-position model. The record is from RNAcentral.